This 420-nucleotide ribosomal RNA is filed under the name uncultured bacterium. RNAcentral describes it as "bacterial SSU rRNA". It matches the Rfam family "Bacterial small subunit ribosomal RNA", at positions 367 to 780 of the family's 1533-position model. The record is from RNAcentral.
GACAAUGGGGAAACCCUGAUCCAGCCAUGCCGCGUGUGUGAAGAAGGUCUUAGGAUUGUAAAGCACUUUAAGUUGGGAGGAAGAGCAGUUAACUAAUAUUUGACUGUUUUGACGUUACCGACAGAAUAAGCACCGGCUAACUUCGUGCCAGCAGCCGCGGCAAUACGAAGGGUGCAAGCGUUAAUCGGAAUUACUGGGCGUAAAGCGCGCGUAGGUGGUUCGUUAAGUUAGGAGUGAAAGCCCCGGGCUCAACCUGGGAAUUGCUUCUAAAACUGGCGAGCUAGAGUAUGGUAGAGGAUGGUGGAAUUUCCUGUGUAGCGGUGAAAUGCGUAGAUAUAGGAAGGAACAUCAGUGGCGAAGGCGACCAACCUGGACUGAUACUGACACUGAGGUGCGAAAGCGUGGGGAGCAACAGGAUUA